RNAcentral lists this long non-coding RNA (840 nucleotides) under Ananas comosus (pineapple). Its description in RNAcentral is "long non-coding RNA (ACOM_LNC041147)". Lineage: Eukaryota; Viridiplantae; Streptophyta; Magnoliopsida; Poales; Bromeliaceae. The record is from RNAcentral.
GCCUGAACAAUCAUGGCUCGACCCGAAUGGCGUUGACGGGUUCGUCCUCGCGUUCGAGAAUAAUAAUAAGAAUAAUAGAAAGAAAAGUUGGUUUGUAACAUAGGACAUUAUUGGAGUGUGAUAUUUGAUUCGGAGAAAGAGGAGAUGAUGAUGAUGGGGUUUUAGUGGUGCUAAUUGUGCGGACCAUCAUAAUUAUUAAUUAUUAAAGUUAAUGAUGCGUUAGUAACUCCUUAGUGGGGAGACGAAGAGUGUGGGUUUAAGAUCGUUCAUUGAUUGGAAGAUCAAAGGUUUUGUGCGGCUGAAACAAUUGUGAUUAGAGAAGAGAGGAGAAGGUAAGAUAAAGGAGGAACCGCUACGUGGCAAGACUUUAUGGAAAAUAAUGUAUAGGUAUAGAGGUAUAGAUAAAGAUAAUUUGUUUAAUUAGAAAUAGUGGAAAACACUGUAAUUAUAAAUAAUUUGUAACAACCGCAUGUGCACUCAGCAUUUCGAACAAGGUUUUAAGUACCCGUCGGCACGGGCCGUAUCCACCGUGCCGUAUCGUACCAACAAGAUAUCGGCACGAUACAGAUCCCGUGCCGAUGGCACAGCUAAAAGCCCUCUAUUCUUUAAAUUAGAAAAUAAUUUCCUCAAUAAAAUUCAAAAGAUGUGAUAAAAAAACAUAGUAAAUAGUUAGAAUAUUUUGUAACUAAAGAAAAUAAAUAUUUCAUGCUGUUAUGUGUCGGCAUGCAAGAAUUUUUUUGACCGACACGCAUCGGCACGGCUCGGCACAUAUCGUGCCGGCAAAUUUCCGACACGAUCCCGUGCCAAAGCACUUAAAUCCUUGAUUUCAAAUACAAAAAU